UCCUCUAUAGUCUGGUUUGUUAAGCUUUCAACAUCCUUGUUUGUUUCCCACACAUUCUGUUUGACUUUGCAGCUGUUUGAUCUGCUUUUUGUCCCUUUGUUUUCAGUUUCCCCUGUGGUUCCUUCAUGGUCUUGUUUGAUGUGUACUUCUGAACGCCUUAUUACCAUCCUCAAAUUCACUAAAUUUUCAGCAUAUUUCAAGGAAGGAUGAUUUCAAAUGCACACUGUUCUACUUUAAGCACACCAAGAGGAAACUACAGAUUUUACCUGCAAGGAAGGAAAUCAAAUCCAGGACAGGAAAGUAUUUACUACUAAGAGGAAAACAGGAGCAGCCCUAUAUUCAGAGCUUAUGCUAACAACAUGGACUUUUUAGAAUGUCACCCAGCUGACCUGCAGAGAUGAUAAAAAAAAGCAUACCU
Molecule: long non-coding RNA, 418 nt
Filed under: Numida meleagris (helmeted guineafowl)
Lineage: Eukaryota; Metazoa; Chordata; Aves; Galliformes; Numididae
Description: lncRNA (ENSNMEG00000002290.1)
Source: RNAcentral